CUGGGCCAUGUUGCCGACCGUGGACGUGGAUAACCCAGGUGUAGCUGCUGGGCAAGGCUGGCCGUCGGCAAAGACCAGAAGACCUUCGCGUUGUCUGAUGACUGGAGGUGCUAAGGAGAACUGGAAAAAUGGGGCAGGCGCGUGUUGCUAAGUGUGACCGUGGCUAACUCCGGAAGGUGCAGUUGAUUGGCAAGGCUGGCCGAUGGCAAAGAACACAGGACGUUUGCGUGGUCUGACGACUGGAGGUGAUGAGGAGAACUGGAACAAGAGAGCUGGGCCAUGUUGCCGACCGUGGACGUGGAUAA
Molecule: long non-coding RNA, 305 nt
Organism: Physeter macrocephalus (sperm whale)
Lineage: Eukaryota; Metazoa; Chordata; Mammalia; Artiodactyla; Physeteridae
Exons: 3
Source: RefSeq, a predicted model, not a curated record